ACUUAAUGGUGAGGGCAUUUACGCGAGAGUUCCCUAAAGAGCUCCCAUGUCUCGAAAAAAUUUUUCUCGUCCAAUUGGGAGAAACUGGUGAUUGCCUUUCUCAGCU
Molecule: small nucleolar RNA, 106 nt
Organism: Malania oleifera
Lineage: Eukaryota; Viridiplantae; Streptophyta; Magnoliopsida; Santalales; Ximeniaceae
Source: RefSeq, a predicted model, not a curated record